ACGCCGCCGUCGGGCGGUCGUAGGACAUGGCCGCCAGGAGGUAGCUCUCGGUGAUGCCCAGAGCCACGAAGAAGUACAUCUCGGCAAAGCACGCCUGGAAGGAUAUGGCCUGGCCCGGGUGGAGCAGGCCGGCCAGCAGCCUGGGGACCGUGACGGUGGUAAAGCAGACGUCCACGAGGCUCAGGUAUUCUGACCUUUUCAGCUAGCAGAGGAUGAGGAGGACAAGGUGGUGGUGUCAUUGGGCAUGUCAACCAAGAGCAAGAAACUCAUGGAGCCAGAAGCUGGGACCAAUAGGACCGCUGUUGCUGAGUUCAUUCUACUGGGCCUAGUGCAAACAGAAGAGAUGCAGCCAGUUGUCUUUGUGCUCCUCCUCUUUGCCUAUCUGGUCACAACUGGGGGCAACCUCAGCAUCCUGGCAGCCGUCUUGGUGGAGCCCAAACUCCACGCCCCCAUGUACUUCUUCCUGGGGAACCUGUCAGUGCUGGAUGUCGGAUGUAUCACUGUCACUGUUCCUGCAAUGUUGGGUCGUCUCUUGUCCCACAAGUCCACAAUUUCCUAUGACGCCUGCCUCUCCCAGCUCUUCUUCUUCCACCUUCUGGCUGGGAUGGACUGCUUCCUGCUGACCGCCAUGGCCUAUGACCGACUCCUGGCCAUCUGCCAGCCCCUCACCUACAGCACCCGCAUGAGUCAGACAGUCCAGAGGAUGUUGGUGGCUGCGUCCUUGGCUUGUGCCUUCACCAACGCACUGACCCACACUGUGGCCAUGUCCACGCUCAACUUCUGUGGCCCCAAUGAGGUCAAUCACUUCUACUGUGACCUCCCACAGCUCUUCCAGCUCUCCUGCUCCAGCACCCAACUCAAUGAGCUGCUGCUCUUUGCUGUGGGUUUCAUCAUGGCAGGCACACCUUUGGUUCUCAUCAUCACUGCCUACAGCCACGUGGCAGCUGCAGUUCUACGAAUCCGUUCAGUGGAGGGCCGAAAGAAGGCCUUCUCCACGUGUGGCUCCCACCUCACCGUGGUUUGUCUUUUCUUUGGAAGAGGUAUCUUCAACUACAUGAGACUGGGUUCAGAGGAGGCUUCAGACAAGGAUAAAGGGGUUGGAGUUUUCAACACUGUUAUCAACCCUAUGCUGAACCCUCUUAUCUACAGCCUCAGAAACCCUGAUGUUCAGGGUGCUCUGUGGCAAAUAUUUUUGGGGAGGAGAUCACUGACCUGAGAGGUAAUGGGGUCCCUCCUUUCCUGCCUUUUCUGGACUGAGGAAAAUUUCCCAUGAAGACAGUAACCAGGAAAAAUUCAGCCACAACUAUUUUUCCUAUCUCCUGAUGCUUGAAGAUCGGUGUUACAUAUUUGUCCUACUAGGAAACCCUACAUAAUUUAUUCAUUCAACAAAUACUUAUUAGAGUACCUCUAUGAUCUGGACAGUCUUCCAAGGCAUUGGUGGACAAAAUGGACAAAAGUCUCUGCACUCAUGCAACUCACAUGCUAUAAAAGUAGACAAAGUAAAUAAGCAUCAUAUAUACCACAUGAUGAUAGUUUCUAUAGAGAUGAACAAAGAUGUUAAUAUGAAGUCAGGUUCUGCCAAGCAAGCCCUGUGCAAGUUUUACCCUGUUUUUGGCUGUGCCUACUUUCUGGAUAGAGUUAAAGCCUUGUAGUUCUGUGUGCCUGGCAAGCAGCAUUCUACAAAGAAUGUCCAGUCGGUCAAUCACAGCCUAAGUGACCAAAAGUAUUUCUGCAAUAUUUCUGCGAUUUCCUGUAUAUAUGAUAUGCCCGUUUCACAUCAGUAGAACCAUACUGUUCUGUGAUCUGCUUCCUGUUUUUCCUGCAUAUUGUGCCAUACAAUCUUUUACAUAAUGAAGACUAACAUCCUGCUUUAUCUGUUUUAAUGGUGGCACAGUAUAUCAUUAAACAUGUAAGUCACAAUUUCUUUCAUUAAACCUCUAUUUCUAUAAUUUGGGUUAUUUUCAAUUGUUUUGCAACAACAAUGUUGUGAUGAAUAUUCUUUUUUUUUUCUUUUUUUUUCUUUUUUUUUUUAAAUUAUAUUUUAAGUUUUAGGGUACAUGUGCACAUUGUGCAGGUUAGUUACAUAUGUAUACAUGUGCCAUGCUGGUGCGCUGCACCCACUAACUCGUCAUCUAGUAUUAGGUAUAUCUCCCAAUGCUAUCCCUCCCCCCUGCCCCCACCCCACCACAGUCCCCA
Molecule: long non-coding RNA, 2196 nt
Filed under: Homo sapiens (human)
Lineage: Eukaryota; Metazoa; Chordata; Mammalia; Primates; Hominidae
Description: non-protein coding lnc-OR3A2-1:4
Source: RNAcentral